GAUGAACGCUGGCGGCGUGCCUAAUACACGCAAGUCGAGCGAACGGACGAGAAGCUUGCUUCUCUGAUGUUAGCGGCGGACGGGUGAGUAACACGUGGAUAACCUACCUAUAAGACUGGGAUAACUUCGGGAAACCGGAGCUAAUACCGGAUAAUAUUUUGAACCGCAUGGUUCAAAAGUGAAAGACGGUCUUGCUGUCACUUAUAGCUGGAUCCGCGCUGCAUUAGCUAGUUGGUAAGGUAACGGCUUACCAAGGCAACGAUGCAUAGCCGACCUGAGAGGGUGAUCGGCCACACUGGAACUGAGACACGGUCCAGACUCCUACGGGAGGCAGCAGUAGGGAAUCUUCCGCAAUGGGCGAAAGCCUGACGGAGCAACGCCGCGUGAGUGAUGAAGGUCUUCGGAUCGUAAAACUCUGUUAUUAGGGAAGAACAUAUGUGUAAGUAACUGUGCACAUCUUGACGGUACCUAAUCAGAAAGCCACGGCUAACUACGUG
Molecule: ribosomal RNA, 497 nt
Filed under: uncultured bacterium
Lineage: Bacteria
Description: partial 16S ribosomal RNA
Rfam family: Bacterial small subunit ribosomal RNA
Source: RNAcentral